UCGAUGAAGAACGCAGCGAAUUGCGAUAUGUAAUGUGAAUUGCAGAUCUACAGUGAAUCAUCGAAUCUUUGAACGCACAUUGCGCUCCUCGGUGUUCCGAGGAGCAUGCCUGUUUGAGUGUCAGUA
This 126-nucleotide ribosomal RNA is filed under the name Chroogomphus albipes. Its description in RNAcentral is "partial 5.8S ribosomal RNA". It matches the Rfam family "5.8S ribosomal RNA", at positions 33 to 154 of the family's 154-position model. Rfam says of the family: 5.8S ribosomal RNA (5.8S rRNA) is a component of the large subunit of the eukaryotic ribosome. It is transcribed by RNA polymerase I as part of the 45S precursor that also contains 18S and 28S rRNA. Lineage: Eukaryota; Fungi; Basidiomycota; Agaricomycetes; Boletales; Gomphidiaceae. The record is from RNAcentral.